AUUGAACGCUGGCGGCAGGCCUAACACAUGCAAGUCGAACGGUAACAGGAAGCAGCUUGCUGCUUCGCUGACGAGUGGCGGACGGGUGAGUAAUGUCUGGGAAGCUGCCUGAUGGAGGGGGAUAACUACUGGAAACGGUAGCUAAUACCGCAUAAUGUCGCAAGACCAAAGAGGGGGACCUUCGGGCCUCUUGCCAUCGGCUGUGCCCAGAUGGGAUUAGCUUGUUGGUGGGGUAACGGCUCACCAAGGCGACGAUCCCUAGCUGGUCUGAGAGGAUGACCAGCCACACUGGGACUGAGACACGGUCCAGACUCCUACGGGAGGCAGCAGUGGGGAAUAUUGCACAAUGGGCGCAAGCCUGAUGCAGCCAUGCCGCGUGUAUGAAGAAGGCCUUCGGGUUGUAAAGUACUUUCAGCGGGGAGGAAGGGAGUAAAGUUAAUACCUUGGCUCAUUGACGUUACCCGCAGAAGAAGCACCGGCUAACUCCGUG
RNAcentral lists this ribosomal RNA (490 nucleotides) under uncultured bacterium. RNAcentral's name for it is "partial 16S ribosomal RNA". It matches the Rfam family "Bacterial small subunit ribosomal RNA", at positions 30 to 507 of the family's 1533-position model. The record is from RNAcentral.